Non-coding RNA from Vicia faba (fava bean), 312 nucleotides. Lineage: Eukaryota; Viridiplantae; Streptophyta; Magnoliopsida; Fabales; Fabaceae. The record is from the annotation of a GenBank genome assembly.
AUGAAGGGAGGCUACAGACGCAAGGAAGUUGCAGACGGAGGGAGCUGUAGACGGAGAGAUUGCAGAACAAAUAUGUGCGGAGUUGAUUGCAGACGGAGGGAUUUGUGGAGUUCAUUGCAGGCGGAGAGAUGUGCGGAGUUGAGAGAUUGCAGAACAGUUAAGCGAUGGUGGAAAAACGGAAUUCCGUCAGAGAGGGAGCAGGGCGGCCGGAGUUGGUUGAGAAGAGAAGUCCCGCGAGGGAGGAGAGCCUUUCCGGAGGGAGCCUCCUUCUAUUGUUAUACCUUUUUUAUGAGAAAAAAAGAGAGAAAGUGA